GCGGCUUUCAAGACGUGGAAUGUUGAGGUGUCGAAUUCUACCGAACUUUACGUUGUGAAUGCCAAGUUGACCUUGUCUAGAGGAGCAUUAGUGGAAAAAAACAGGGUAGCCCUGAAACAAUAGGAUGACGUCACGACCAAUGAGAAUGGCCUGCAGGGGGCGCAAGGAUUCACUUCUCUCUUGGACACUGACGGGUCUGGACACGCAAAUUCUGCUCCUGGCGUUGACCGUCAGUGGAAGAGCGUAGCUUCUGUGGGGUUCUGUCUGCCUCUGAUCGGGUGCGGAUGUGUGGUUCGUCACUGGUGAAUGGUGUUCGACGAUGCAGGUGGAUUUUGUGACGAGCGGAUUUACAAUGAGGGAAUGCUGUGAACGGGAAAAAUGAUGAGCUGUCCUAACUUGCCCAGACAUGCCAUGAUGACGUCACAGGAUGUCCGGAACUGGUGUUCAUAGCUGCGAUGCUUUGCAACCUGCCUCCGUCGCCCAGCGACAGUCAGCGGCCGUUCCGGACCGCUUUCUUCAAGAUGGCGUCGUUGAUAUUCAACUAAACUCCUUCUCUCCACUCUAUCUCUAUCUUUUUAUUUUAUUUUCUACGUAUUUUUGUAUUUUUUAUCAGCUCAACUAGCCCACAACUCACACAGUGGUCUGCACACGUCCUAGAUUCUCCCCAAUUAGUGUAAUGACUCCCUGAAUUAUCCUAAUUACUGUGGGGGCCCCAAAUUUCUCUAAUUGCUCAUUAAUGGCGUCCAGACCACUGUGUGAGUUGUGGGCCAGUUGAGCUGAUCCCAUACUACUUCUAUACAGGUAAACACUUCUUUGAGAGAUAACCGCUCUUUAUUACUGCCUGUACUGUACUAGCAUGGGUCUCUGUUUGCAGUGCUUUGCGUUGGCUAUUAUGUGAUGUAAUGCAAUUGAAUACAUCUAAUCACUUCAUAACCACGGCUCCUUUGGCAGUUCUAACCAUACCACGUUUGUGAUAUGAUAAGACGUCGGUCUGUUCCUCCCUCAAAAUAUCUCGACUCAAAGAUGACUGAAAAACGAGGGCGUUUGAAAAAAAGACUCCUGUAACCGUGUAUUCACACGAGCGACAUCCUCACGGAAUAUUCUAGUGGAAGAAAAAGCGAAAACACUGCUCACAGAGCCGAAUUUCCGUCCCGUGUUGAGCAUUCACACGGUGCGGAAUAUAUCGGGAGUGGCGUAGUGCGCGUUUAGCAGACGACACCAUCAGCGUGCUUAGCAGACGACACCAUCAGCGUGUUUGCCUGUCGUCUGCUACGGAAUAUCUUGUGACUGCGUAGCAGGAUAUUCCCCACGGUUAGCAGUGUACGUGAAGACACGACGUUGAGCACUCGCGCUCACGCGGCAGCAGAAAGCUACGACAGUUUUUGCAUCUUCCGCUUCUGGGGGAAUGUCGCUCGUGUGAAUACACGGUAAUAGUAUCCAUUUAUCGUCAGAAAAGCGUAUUUUCAGCGUCAACGUCAAAGUUUUAGAAGCCUAACCUUAAAUGCUAAACUCGCAACUCAUUUUUCACACGAGACAGUUCAUGUUCUGAGGCUGGAACACAUGUCUAGAAGGACAAACACAAACGUGUUCAUCAUUUCUUUAAUCAUUUUUCACUUUCACACGGAGGAAGCGAGGUUUCUACCGAAACUAUUUCUGAGGACUUCAAACAAACGAGCUCUCUUAUUCUC
Ornithodoros turicata is the source of this 1688-nucleotide long non-coding RNA. RefSeq lists it as uncharacterized. NCBI's taxonomy places the organism in Eukaryota, Metazoa, Arthropoda, Arachnida, Ixodida, Argasidae. The transcript has 3 exons. The record is from RefSeq and is a predicted model, not a curated record.